RNAcentral lists this ribosomal RNA (501 nucleotides) under uncultured bacterium. RNAcentral's name for it is "partial 16S ribosomal RNA". It matches the Rfam family "Bacterial small subunit ribosomal RNA", at positions 30 to 523 of the family's 1533-position model. The record is from RNAcentral.
AUUGAACGCUGGCGGCAGGCUUAACACAUGCAAGUCGAGCGGAGAGAGGUAGCUUGCUACUGAUCUUAGCGGCGGACGGGUGAGUAAUGCUUAGGAGUCUGCCUAUUAGUGGGGGACAACAUUUCGAAAGGAAUGCUAAUACCGCAUACGUCCUACGAGAGAAAGCAGGGGAUCUUCGGACCUUGCGCUAAUAGAUGAGCCUAAGUCGGAUUAGCUAGUUGGUGGGGUAAAGGCCUACCAAGGCGACGAUCUGUAGCGGGUCUGAGAGGAUGAUCCGCCACACUGGGACUGAGACACGGCCCAGACUCCUACGGGAGGCAGCAGUGGGGAAUAUUGGACAAUGGGCGGAAGCCUGAUCCAGCCAUGCCGCGUGUGUGAAGAAGGCCUUAUGGUUGUAAAGCACUUUAAGCGAGGAGGAGGCUACUUUAGUUAAUACCUAGAGAUAGUGGACGUUACUCGCAGAAUAAGCACCGGCUAACUCUGUGCCAGCCGCCGCAGUAA